AGAGAGGGGACAUAUAUUUGUGUUGCUAGAGUUCAGUUCCAUAGGCCAAUAAACAGAAAAAAGAAAUAAAUAAUUACAUUAUUGCAAAGUCCCAAGUUCCAAACACCAUAAAAGAUGAAGGAAACUGUUUUACGGCUCAAUAAAUGAAUCAUAACAUUACAACUGAGUUGAUCCAUUAGAGGUUUCUUUGUUAUCAUUUUUUUUCUUUU
This 209-nucleotide unclassified non-coding RNA is filed under the name Hevea brasiliensis (rubber tree). Lineage: Eukaryota; Viridiplantae; Streptophyta; Magnoliopsida; Malpighiales; Euphorbiaceae. The record is from RNAcentral.